This is a long non-coding RNA of Cydia pomonella (codling moth), 330 nucleotides long. RefSeq lists it as uncharacterized. The record is from RefSeq and is a predicted model, not a curated record. The transcript has 2 exons. Lineage: Eukaryota; Metazoa; Arthropoda; Insecta; Lepidoptera; Tortricidae.
AAGGUGGGGAGGGUCGAUCCCUAGGGGACACUUGGUAAUCUUCAUUUCAAGUUUAACCAGACGUCAUACAGUUUUUUACGCUAGCAACACUCAUUAAUUCGUUCCUAACUUCACGUUCUGUCAUGGCGCCGUUUGGAACAAGUCAGUGGUUUGCAAGUGGCGGACUAUGAAAAAUUUGCUGCGUGCUGUAUUUAAUUUUCGGAAAUCAUGCGUCGAAAAUAUACGACCAGAGAAGGUUAAAAACAAAGAAUACUGAUAGAUAAGGAAAGAUUAAAAAAUGCUGUAUCAGAAGUAUUAGCUGGUAUUACCAUUAAAGUGUUUAAAGCCAAA